CAAUUUGAAGCUUAUUUAGUAAAGCAUUUCAUUUACACUGAAAAGAUUAUUGUGCGAAUCAAUAUAAAUUGA
Molecule: transfer RNA, 72 nt
Filed under: Exhyalanthrax sp.
Lineage: Eukaryota; Metazoa; Arthropoda; Insecta; Diptera; Bombyliidae
Description: tRNA-Val
Rfam family: tRNA
About the family: Transfer RNA (tRNA) molecules are approximately 80 nucleotides in length. Their secondary structure includes four short double-helical elements and three loops (D, anti-codon, and T loops). Further hydrogen bonds mediate the characteristic L-shaped molecular structure. tRNAs have two regions of fundamental functional importance: the anti-codon, which is responsible for specific mRNA codon recognition, and the 3' end, to which the tRNAs corresponding amino acid is attached (by aminoacyl-tRNA synthetases). tRNAs cope with the degeneracy of the genetic code in two manners: having more than one tRNA (with a specific anti-codon) for a particular amino acid; and 'wobble' base-pairing, i.e. permitting non-standard base-pairing at the 3rd anti-codon position.
Source: RNAcentral